AGCAGCCGCGGUAAUUCCAGCUCCAAUAGCGUAUAUUAAAGUUGUUGCAGUUAAAAAGCUCGUAGUUGAAUUUCGGGGUUAGUAGGUUGGUCAUGCCUCUGGUAUGCACUGGUCUUACUGAUUCCUCCUUCCUGAUGAGCCGUAAUGCCAUUAAUUUGGUGUUGCGGGGAAUUUGGACUGUUACUUUGAAAAAAUUAGAGUGUUUAAAGCAAGCUAACGCUUGAAUACAUUAGCAUGGAAUAAUGAAAUAGGACGUUCGAUCCUAUUUUGUUGGUUUCUAGGAUUGACGUAAUGAUUAAUAGGGAUAGUUGGGGGCAUUAGUAUUCAAUUGUCAGAGGUGAAAUUCUUGGAUUUAUUGAAGACUAACUACUGCGAAAGCAUUUGCCAAGGAUGUUUUCAUUAAUCAAGAACGAAAGUUAGGGGAUCGAAGACGAUCAGAUACCGUCGUAGUCUUAACCAUAAACUAUGCCGACUAGGGAUCGGAUGAUGUUAAUUUUUUAAUGACUCAUUCGGCGCCUUACG
RNAcentral lists this ribosomal RNA (522 nucleotides) under uncultured Glomus. RNAcentral describes it as "SSU rRNA". It matches the Rfam family "Eukaryotic small subunit ribosomal RNA", at positions 569 to 1092 of the family's 1831-position model. Lineage: Eukaryota; Fungi; Glomeromycota; Glomeromycetes; Glomerales; Glomeraceae. The record is from RNAcentral.